UACGGGGGGAGCAAGCGUUGUUCGGAUUUACUGGGCGUAAAGGGCGCGUAGGCGGUCGUGACAAGUCACUUGUGAAAUCUCCGGGCUUAACUCGGAACGGUCAAGUGAUACUGUCGGACUAGAGUACAGAAGGGGCAACUGGAAUUCUCGGUGUAGCGGUGAAAUGCGUAGAUAUCGAGAGGAACACCUGCGGCGAAGGCGGGUUGCUGGGCUGAUACUGACGCUGAGGCGCGAAAGCCCAGGGGA
RNAcentral lists this ribosomal RNA (246 nucleotides) under uncultured bacterium. RNAcentral's name for it is "partial 16S ribosomal RNA". It matches the Rfam family "Bacterial small subunit ribosomal RNA", at positions 524 to 768 of the family's 1533-position model. The record is from RNAcentral.